UGAACCCGGUGAAUGGUAGAACCGGGGUAAGCGUGUAGGAGGAGGACCAGGCAAAUCCGGGCCUCAUAUACUCUGAGACGUGAUACCGAGCCGCUUCAGGCGAAGUCAUUAAUCCUAUGCUGCCUAGAAAAGCCCAGUAGCGAGUUGGCAUGGUGCCCGUACCCCAAACCAACACAGGUGGACAGGUAGAGCAUACCAAGGCGAGUGGGAUAACUAUGGUUAAGGAACUCGGCAAAUUUCCUCCGUAACUUCGGGAUAAGGAGGACCCCAGUAGCGUGACGAGACUUGCUCUCCGAGCGUGAAGGGGUGGCACAAAAUUGAGGGAAGCGACUGUUUACCAAAAACGCAGCAGCGUGCUAAGCCGUAAGGCGCUGUAUACGCUGUGACUCCUGCCCGGUGCUGGAAGGUUACGGGGAUGGGUUAGUCCUUUGGGACGAAGCUCUGAACCUAAGCCCCAGUAAACGGCGGCCGUAACUAUAACGGUCCUAAGGUAGCGAAAUUCCUUGUCGGGUAAGUUCCGACCUGCACGAAUGGAGUAACGACUUCCCUACUGUCUCAACCAUAGACCCAGCGAAAUUGAAGUACGAGUAAAGAUGCUCGUUAGCUGCAGAAGGACGGAAAGACCCCGUGGACCUUUACUAUAACUUGAUGUUGUGUUUUGUCAUAUGUUGUGUAGGAUAGGUGGGAGACAAGGAAGCAUGGACGCUAGUCUGUGUGGAGUCAUCGUUGAAAUACCACCCUGCAUAUGGCGAGGCUCUAACCUAGACCCGUUAUCCGGGUUGGGGACAGCGUCAGGCGGGUAGUUUAACUGGGGCGGUUGCCUCCUAAAGAGUAACGGAGGCGCCCAAAGGUUCCCUCAGCCUGGUUGGCAAUCAGGCGUCGAGUGCAAUGGCAAAAGGGAGCUUGACUGCGAGACCUACAAGUCGAGCAGGAGCGAAAGCUGGGCAUAGUGAUCCGGCGGUUGCGUGUGGAAGCGCCGUCGCUCAACGGAUAAAAGGUACCCCGGGGAUAACAGGCUAAUCUUGCCCAAGCGUCCAUAGCGACGGCAAGGUUUGGCACCUCGAUGUCGGCUCAUCGCAUCCUGGGGCUGAAGCAGGUCCCAAGGGUUGGGCUGUUCGCCCAUUAAAGCGGUACGCGAGCUGGGUUCAGAACGUCGUGAGACAGUUCGGUCCCUAUCCUCUGUAGCCGUAGGUGAAUUGAGGAAAGCUGUCCCUAGUACGAGAGGACCGGGACGGACGCAGCUCUCGUGUGCCAGUUGUCCUGCCAAGGGCAUGGCUGGUUAGCGACCUGCGGAAAGGAUAACCGCUGAAAGCAUCUAAGCGGGAAGCCUCUUCCAAGAUGAAUUCACCCACAGGGUUAACCUGGUAAGGCCCGUGGUAGACCACCACGUUGAUAGGCCGGAAGUGUAAGCGUGGCAACACGUUCAGCUGACCGGUACUAAUCGGCCGAGGGCUUGAAUG
This 1460-nucleotide ribosomal RNA is filed under the name metagenome. Its description in RNAcentral is "bacterial LSU rRNA". It matches the Rfam family "Bacterial large subunit ribosomal RNA", at positions 1487 to 2925 of the family's 2925-position model. The record is from RNAcentral.